AACGCGAAGAACCUUACCUGGGCUCGAAGCGCAGUGGAUAUGGGUGGAAACAUCCCUUUCUCGCAAGAGACUGCUGCGGAGGUGCUGCAUGGCUGUCGUCAGCUCGUGUCGUGAGAUGUUGGGUUAAGUCCCGCAACGAGCGCAACCCUUAUCGUUAGUUGCCAGCGAGUCAAGUCGGGCACUCUAGCGAAACCGCCUCGGAUAACGGGGAGGAAGGUGGGGAUGACGUCAAGUCCUCAUGGCCUUUAUGUCCAGGGCUACACACGUGCUACAAUGGCCGGUACAAUGGGCUGCGAAACCGUGAGGUGGAGCGAAUCCCAAAAAGCCGGUCUCAGUUCGGAUUGGGGUCUGCAACCCGACCCCAUGAAGUCGGAGUCGCUAGUAAUCGCAGAUCAGCAACGCUGCGGUGAAUACGUUCCCGGGCCUUGUACACACCGCAUAC
RNAcentral lists this ribosomal RNA (442 nucleotides) under uncultured bacterium. RNAcentral describes it as "bacterial SSU rRNA". It matches the Rfam family "Bacterial small subunit ribosomal RNA", at positions 958 to 1397 of the family's 1533-position model. The record is from RNAcentral.